Molecule: ribosomal RNA, 468 nt
Filed under: uncultured bacterium
Lineage: Bacteria
Description: partial 16S ribosomal RNA
Rfam family: Bacterial small subunit ribosomal RNA
Source: RNAcentral
GACGAACGCUGGCGGCGUGCUUAACACAUGCAAGUCGAACGGAAAGGCCCUGCUUUUGUUGGGUUCUCGAUUGGCGAACGGGUGAGUAACACGUGAGUAUCCUGCCCUUGACUUUGGGAUAACUUCAGGAAACUGCGGCUAAUACCGGAUAGGAGCUCCUGCUGCAUGGUGUGGGUUGGAGAGUUUCGGCGUUUGGGGCUGGACUCGCGGCUUAUCAGCUUGUUGGUGGGGUAGUGGCUUACCAAGGCUUUGACGGGUAGCCGGCCUGAGAGGGUGACCGGCCACAUUGGGACUGAGAUACGGACCAGACUCCUACGGGAGGCAGCAGUGGGGAAUAUUGCACAAUGGGCGGAAGCCUGAUGCAGCAACGCUGCGUGCGGGAUGACGGCCUUCGGGUUGUAAACAGCUUUCGCAUGUGACGAAGCGUGAGUGACGGUAAUGGGUAAAGAAGCACCGGCUAACUACGUG